CUGCCCUCAAGCACGGCUUGUGUGUUGGGCCCCCGCCCCCCGGCUCCCGGGGGGCGGGCCCGAAAGGCAGCGGCGGCACCGCGUCCGGUCCUCGAGCGUAUGGGGCUUCGUCACCCGCUCUGUAGGCCCGGCCGGCGCCCGCCGGCGACCCCCCUCAAUCUUUCUCA
This 167-nucleotide unclassified non-coding RNA is filed under the name Penicillium simplicissimum. Its description in RNAcentral is "partial internal transcribed spacer 2". The record is from RNAcentral. RNAcentral also lists the same sequence under 1 other name. Lineage: Eukaryota; Fungi; Ascomycota; Eurotiomycetes; Eurotiales; Aspergillaceae.